This 380-nucleotide ribosomal RNA is filed under the name uncultured eukaryote. RNAcentral describes it as "partial 18S ribosomal RNA". It matches the Rfam family "Eukaryotic small subunit ribosomal RNA", at positions 592 to 976 of the family's 1831-position model. The record is from RNAcentral.
CAAUAGCGUAUAUUAAAGUUGUUGCGGUUAAAAAGCUCGUAGUUGGAUUUCUGCUGAGAACGACCGGUCCGCCCUCUGGGUGUGUAUCUGGCUCUUUCUUGGCAUCUUCUUGGUGAACGUUGCUGCACUUGACUGUGUGGAGCGCUACCCAGGACUUUUACUUUGAGGAAAUUAGAGUGUUUCAAGCAGGCAUACGCCUUGAAUACAUUAGCAUGGAAUAAUAAGAUAGGACCUCGGUUCUAUUUUGUUGGUUUCUAGAACUUAGGUAAUGAUUAAUAGGGACAAUUGGGGGCAUUUGUAUUAACACGUCAGAGGUGGAAUUCUUGGAUUGUGUUACGACAAACUACUGCGAAAGCAUUUGCCAAGGAUGUUUUCAUUGA